UAAAAAGUCAUAUAUCUGGUUGGCUCUAACUCAUUAGUGCUCUUAAGCAUGCAUUUAAUUAAACCAGGCAAGUAGUCCUAUUUAAAUCAAAGGAACUAAAAGUCACCUGCAUUCAGUGACACUAAUGAUAUUCAUUAAAUCAUUUACAUGAAUACUUAUUUGCAGGAUUAACACCAGAUGACAUUCACACACAUUUUUCCUGUGCAACUGUGCGCUAGUCGUUGUAGAAUCAAAUUCUUUAUUCAUGUUUAUUUGCAUUUCUUAUAUCACCUUCACAUUCCUUCAAUAAGCUCCAAACAAAGGUUUCAGAUUCUAGGCAUCAUAUUCUAUUAAAAAUGUAUUUAAUAGCUAUUCUGUUUGAUAUACAUUUUAACCGUGUCUUUACCUUACAGGCAAAAAAGAUGAAUGUUUGAUCUGCAGAACUCCUUGUCGUACAAUAUUCCUUUCAAAAGAGACAAGUCCUGAUAUUCAGUCACUGUUCAUGGGAAUAGAUACAUUAUGCAAGAAAUAUUCAAAAGAAAUAACACAGAUUUCAGAAUUUCAAGAAAAAAAUCGUGAACAUUUAUUAGCAUACCACAGAAAAAAGUAUGAAACCUCCUCAACAAACUACUCCACUGCCAUUUUCCAGUACAAGUAGAAACCCACUUUCCAUUCCUUCAAGAAGACCGAAUGGCUACUCUUCAUGUUCUCUUCAACCUAGUCAUCCUUCCACUUCUGAAACAAUGGAGUCAAUGGAGAUUGAUCCUUUACCUUCACCAAUGAGGAAGGUAGUGUAUCCUACAGAAGUUCUCAGUCAUCUGGAAUAACAUCAAGUCAAAAUAAAGCAGGAUCUACAAGAUCCACACCUGUAAGCCUACCACAUAAUGGAUAUUCACUUAUAUCACCAUCUGGAUCACAAUGCAGUAGAAGGGGAUCAUGGACUGCUUCUGAUUUCAGAACGCCUCCAUUGUAUCCACUUACAUCACCUUCCCCACAGUCAUCUGUAACAAGACAUCCAAUCACCAUCUCUGGAA
This is a long non-coding RNA of Oxyura jamaicensis (ruddy duck), 1013 nucleotides long. RefSeq lists it as uncharacterized. NCBI's taxonomy places the organism in Eukaryota, Metazoa, Chordata, Aves, Anseriformes, Anatidae. The record is from RefSeq and is a predicted model, not a curated record. The transcript has 8 exons.